This 97-nucleotide ribosomal RNA is filed under the name uncultured bacterium. RNAcentral describes it as "partial 16S ribosomal RNA". It matches the Rfam family "Bacterial small subunit ribosomal RNA", at positions 1388 to 1482 of the family's 1533-position model. The record is from RNAcentral.
CACCGCCCGUCACAUCACGAAAGCCAGUUGUACUAGAAGCCGGCGAUUCAACCCGCAAGGGAGAUAGCCGUCCAAGGUAUGACUGGUGAUUGGGGUG